AGUGAACGCUGGCGGUAGGCCUAACACAUGCAAGUCGAACGGCAGCACAGUAAGAGCUUGCUCUUACGGGUGGCGAGUGGCGGACGGGUGAGGAAUACAUCGGAAUCUACUUUUUCGUGGGGGAUAACGUAGGGAAACUUACGCUAAUACCGCAUACGACCUACGGGUGAAAGCAGGGGAUCUUCGGACCUUGCGCGAUUGAAUGAGCCGAUGUCGGAUUAGCUAGUUGGCGGGGUAAAGGCCCACCAAGGCGACGAUCCGUAGCUGGUCUGAGAGGAUGACCAGCCACACUGGAACUGAGACACGGUCCAGACUCCUACGGGAGGCAGCAGUGGGGAAUAUUGGACAAUGGGCGCAAGCCUGAUCCAGCCAUACCGCGUGGGUGAAGAAGGCCUUCGGGUUGUAAAGCCCUUUUGUUAGGAAAGAAAAGCAGCAGGUUAAUACCCCGCUGUUCUGACGGUACCCAAAGAAUAAGCACCGGCUAACUUCGUG
This 492-nucleotide ribosomal RNA is filed under the name uncultured bacterium. RNAcentral describes it as "partial 16S ribosomal RNA". It matches the Rfam family "Bacterial small subunit ribosomal RNA", at positions 29 to 507 of the family's 1533-position model. The record is from RNAcentral.